Molecule: long non-coding RNA, 586 nt
Organism: Contarinia nasturtii (swede midge)
Lineage: Eukaryota; Metazoa; Arthropoda; Insecta; Diptera; Cecidomyiidae
Exons: 2
Source: RefSeq, a predicted model, not a curated record
UGUUUACGUAUACGUAUACGUUGACAUUAAUAAUCUGUCAAAACCGUAAACACAUUAUUUUCAUAACGCAAUUUUGCGAGAGUUCCUAUUAGUUGAAAAAAAUUAAAUUUUUGUGUGCAAACUGAAACGCAAAAUGGUUUAGUGCGAUGUAUGCCAGCAGAAUAUUUCGGGAAACAUUUACAAGCACAAAAGAGUUGAGCACAGUUGGGAUCGAGGUGGUAUUAAAUUGAUUAAACAGGAAGAUAAAACUCUGAUCGAAGCUAUACAAAACGAAAAAACAUUCGUUGGACCUUCGCUGUUAUAUUUGAAACGUCUCGCAAAUUAUGCGGUAACACAAAAUUUUCAAGCCACAUUUUUUGGAGUCGACUCACCAAAACCAGAACUUGUCAUUACAACGGGUACAAUUGCAGAGAAUGAAAGAAAUUUGGCUGAAAUUGUGGAUCAACUCUAUGGCCAAAUCGGUCAAUGAACUACGAUCGCUAUUCAAUAUUUAGUUUAUGAAUAUGUUCAUUUUUUCACGCAAAAUGCGACCAAUUACAUUUAUAAUUAAAUACCAUGAAUAAAUAUUAAUUUUUUAUGUAAAAAA